Molecule: long non-coding RNA, 293 nt
Filed under: Homo sapiens (human)
Lineage: Eukaryota; Metazoa; Chordata; Mammalia; Primates; Hominidae
Description: non-protein coding lnc-MUC20-69:1
Source: RNAcentral
AACAGGGUUCCUGCCCUGUGGUAAGUAAAGAAUGUCACUUUCCGACAGGCCCAGGAGCCCCAAGUUUUACCUUGGACCCUCAAAAGGAGAGGAAUUCAUGCAACUCAUAGGUAUUUGAUGGUACAAAUCCAUGGCAGGGCUCAGCUUUAAACAAGUCUUUUCUGAGAUUCCUUCUAUGGAACAAAGUUUCAUCAAAGCCAAUUUAAAAGCCUGUGUAAAAAAAUAAUUAUUCUAGCUGCACUGUAUACAAAUAAUCAGGCCAAGAAUAAUAAAGGAAAUCAGUCCUACCAUGA